RNAcentral lists this ribosomal RNA (231 nucleotides) under uncultured bacterium. RNAcentral's name for it is "partial 16S ribosomal RNA". It matches the Rfam family "Bacterial small subunit ribosomal RNA", at positions 524 to 754 of the family's 1533-position model. The record is from RNAcentral.
UACGGAGGGUGCGAGCGUUGUCCGGAAUCAUUGGGCGUAAAGGGCGCGUAGGUGGCGGCUUAAGCGUGCGGUGAAAGCUCGGGGCUCAACCCCGAGUCGGCCGUGCGAACUGAGUCGCUUGAGCACUGUAGAGGCAGGCGGAAUUCCGGGUGUAGCGGUGGAAUGCGUAGAGAUCCGGAAGAACACCGGUGGCGAAGGCGGCCUGCUGGGCAGUAGCUGACACUGAGGCGC